This is an unclassified non-coding RNA of Gorilla gorilla gorilla (western lowland gorilla), 113 nucleotides long. It matches the Rfam family "Y RNA". Rfam says of the family: Y RNAs are components of the Ro ribonucleoprotein particle (Ro RNP), in association with Ro60 and La proteins. The Y RNAs and Ro60 and La proteins are well conserved, but the function of the Ro RNP is not known. The record is from Ensembl. Lineage: Eukaryota; Metazoa; Chordata; Mammalia; Primates; Hominidae.
GGCUGGUCCGAAUGUAGUGAGUUAUCUCAAUUGAUUGUUCACAGUCAGUUACAGAUCAAACUCCUUGUUCUAUUCUUCCCCUCCUUCUCACUACUGCACUUAACUAGUCUUAA